CUGAUCCUCAGAUGACGAUGCCAUAUGAUGGUUCUCACAGGGUCAGCGCGGGAAGUAGAAGAUUUCUGGGGAUAUGUGUUUCCAAGCCAGUGGUUCUCGGGAAGGAGUACGAACUCCGAUACAAAUACUGGCUCAUCUCUAUGCCACGGACUCUUGAGAACAGCAGCGCUUCAACACUUAGCGUUUUGUUGCCAGAAAUAAAUCAAAUGGACAAUGGUGCAAAAAUCAAAAUGUUCCUGGAACAACUGGAGGGACCAAGGAUUCAACACGAACUCUAGUCCUAAUAGUCUCAAGGGAUCAGGCUGAGUCCUCUGGAGGGAGCAGAAACAGAUACAAUGCAAGAGGCCACUUGUGUCCUUCACUAAUCAGAAGCUUUUGUAUUUUAAUGGCACUUCACAAAAUCCCCUGUGGAGAAAAGAAAGAGGCAGGCCCACCAAAAAAAGGAAAACCCCAAAGGCGAACAGACAAGGGCUGAAAACAAACUCAACCCUGAAUUAAGUUAUACCCUAUUGGUGAUAUGGAAGUGCUGGGUAGAGGAGGGCCUGGUCCCUUCCUAGGGCUCCACGCCCACAGACCUAGGUGAGGACAGGCAUUUCCUGCCCAACUGUUGCAUUUCCCAAGAUCACCCUGGCCUGCCACGCCCCCAUCCUGUGCCUAUAAAAAAAUGCCCAGGACCCUAGCAGGCAGACCAGAGGCAGCUGGUCGUCGAGAGGAAGGCACUGACUGGCACUGGCACACCUGCAGGUCACCAACUGGCAGAAGCAGAAUGAUACAAAUUUGGCUCCGAGGGUUGGAGGAGAGUCCAGGCCACUGAUCAGCCUGAUUCCAGGGGAAAACCAUCUCCCUUCUGGCUCCCCCAUCUUCUGAGAGCUACUCCCAUUCAGUAAAACCUUGCACUCGUUCUCCAA
Molecule: long non-coding RNA, 908 nt
Organism: Macaca mulatta (Rhesus monkey)
Lineage: Eukaryota; Metazoa; Chordata; Mammalia; Primates; Cercopithecidae
Source: RefSeq, a predicted model, not a curated record